This is a long non-coding RNA of Ursus thibetanus thibetanus, 1578 nucleotides long. NCBI's taxonomy places the organism in Eukaryota, Metazoa, Chordata, Mammalia, Carnivora, Ursidae. The record is from Ensembl.
GGGUAGUCGGGGAGCUCCUGAGGACCUAGUGUACCCCGAUACGGUGCAUGAACUAGAUCCUGAGGGCAGUGCGGGGGUCACUGGAGGAUUUUCAAGGGGUCAGAUUUGUGUUCUGGAAAGAUCAUAUGGGCUGGGUCUGUGCCAGUCUGGUUUAUUACUGUUUUCCCAGCACCCAGCUCAGUGCCUGGCAUACAGUAGGUGCUCAAUAAAUGUCUUAAAUCAAUACACGAAUACCAACAGUGUACCCUGAGGUAGUGGUUAACUCCAGUCAUAGAACCUUGGGCCUCAGCUCCCUCCUUUGUAAAACGAGGGUAACAACCCUGUCUCUUGGGGGUGCCGAAAUGGCGGAGGGAUGGAGCUUGAGGCAGGGCUUUGCUCGGUGUCCUGCAUGAUGUCCAUGCUCCAUUACUCUCCCUUUCUGCUACGUGCACAGGACGCACUGUGGGCGAGGCUGCGGGCGAGAUGGAGGCAGGGAGCAGGGAGGACACGGAGCCACAGGGUAAGCACAGGACAGGUCCCUGCCUGGCGGCUGCGCACCACAAGACACAGGGACGCCAACUGGACUCCGUUACUGCCGCCUCGACCAGGUACAAGGGGAGGCCGAUUUCCACGGCGCUUUGUUAAAGCGAACUCUGUAUAAACAGUUCUAUACAAAGAUGUAGCGUAUGACUGCCGGCCGCCCCCUUCAUGCUCAGCGGUCGGGGACCGUCACGGUCCUGGGGCACAGUCUGAUGCAGCCAUUAACAAUGAUGUUUAGGGGUGCCUAACAUCAGUCCCUGGAGCUCAGGCCCUCGAGCAUCUGGCUCUUGAUUUCGGCUCAGGUCAUGACCUCAGGGUCAUGGCAUCGAGCCCCGAGUCGGGCUCCACGCUCAGCAGGGAGUCUGCUUGAGGUUCUCUCUCCCUCUGCCCCUCCCCCAGCUCGCAGGCUCUCUAAAUAAAUAAAUAAAUAAAUAAAUAAAUAUUUUUUUAUAAUGAUGUUUAUGGAGAAUUUUAAUGACCUAAGAAGUGUUUUCGGUCUCAUCUGAAGUGAAAACCAAGAUGUGACACGCUACGGGCGUGUGUGUAAUUCAAUAAAAAGCAAAAAGAAAAAACUACAUGCUGUGAGCUCGACCUCAUUUAACGACUGCAGGCAAAAACCUGAAAGAAACUCAAAAGCGCGAACCUUGCUAUUUCUGGGGGGUGCAAUUGCGAGUGACUGACACGUUUUCAGGGCUUCGUCGUUACCGCAUUUCCAGAUUUCUACCAUAAACGCUUUGAGAUGUUCAGGUUAUUUGAAUAAAGGCGCGGCGCGUCUCCCGUCUUCAAGGAGCCCCCGUCUCUGGAAAAUCUUCUUUUAGGGCCUGGGAGUGUGUGUAUACAUUUUGCAGCUGGAGGCAGAGCUUGGGUCAGCUAGGGGGGUGUGUUGACGGCAAAUAAUGGAAACCCAGUAACAUUGAGGGGGUUGCCCCCCCCCCCCCCGCCAGGUCACAGGAAGUCCCCGUUAGGCCACCCAGGGCUGCUGCGGCUCCAUGAUGCUGUCGUGGACAAUGCUGCUAUCAAAGAGCAGGCCUGUUAUGCCCCCCAAACCCCUGCCUUUCC